Molecule: ribosomal RNA, 551 nt
Filed under: uncultured Acaulospora
Lineage: Eukaryota; Fungi; Glomeromycota; Glomeromycetes; Diversisporales; Acaulosporaceae
Description: SSU rRNA
Rfam family: Eukaryotic small subunit ribosomal RNA
Source: RNAcentral
UUGGAGGGCAAGUCUGGUGCCAGCAGCCGCGGUAAUUCCAGCUCCAAUAGCGUAUAUUAAAGUUGUUGCAGUCAAAAAGCUCGUAGUUGAAUUUCGGGAUUCGUCGGUUGGUCGGGCUUCACUGUCCGCACUGACCUGACGGAUUCCUACCUUCUGAAUAACCAGCAUGCUAUUAAGUUAGUGCGUUGGGGAAGCAGAGCUAUUACCUUGAAAAAAUUAGAGUGCUUAAAGCAGGCUUGUGCUUGAAUAGAUUAGCAUGGAAUAAUAAAAUAGGACGGCAUGGUUCUAUUUUGUUGGUUUCUAGGAUCACCGUAAUGAUUAAUAGGGAUAGUUGGGGGCAUUAGUAUUCAAUUGUCAGAGGUGAAAUUCUUGGAUUUAUUGAAGACUAACUUCUGCGAAAGCAUUUGCCAAGGAUGUUUUCAUUAAUCAAGAACGAAAGUUAGGGGAUCGAAGACGAUCAGAUACCGUCGUAGUCUUAACCAUAAACUAUGCCGACUAGGGAUCGGACGAUGUUAAUUUUUUAAUGACUCGUUCGGCGCCUUACGGGAAAC